RNAcentral lists this ribosomal RNA (254 nucleotides) under uncultured bacterium. RNAcentral describes it as "partial 16S ribosomal RNA". It matches the Rfam family "Bacterial small subunit ribosomal RNA", at positions 524 to 776 of the family's 1533-position model. The record is from RNAcentral.
UACGUAGGGGGCAAGCGUUACUCGGAUUCACUGGGCGUAAAGCGCGUGUAGGCGGCUGGUCAAGCGUGGUGUGAAAUCUCCGGGCUCAACCCGGAAACUGCACCGCGAACUGGCCUGGCUGGAGUGCAGGAGAGGGAAGGGGAAUUCCCGGUGUAGCGGUGAAAUGCGCAGAUAUCAGGAGGAACACCGGUGGCGAAGGCGGGUCUCUGGGCCACUACUGACGCUGAGGAGCGAAAGCGUGGGGAGCGAACAGG